CCUACGGGUGGCAGCAGUGAGGAAUAUUGCGCAAUGGGCGAAAGCCUGACGCAGCGACGCCGCGUGGAGGAUGAAGGUCUUAGGAUUGUAAACUUCUGUUAAGCGGGAAGAAAUAUAUAGAUUUAAUACAUCUAUAAGAUGACGGUACCGCUAAAGAAAGCACCGGCUAACUUCGUGCCAGCAGCCGCGGUAAUACGAAGGGUGCAAGCGUUAUUCGGAAUUAUUGGGCGUAAAGGGUGCGCAGGCGGUGGAUUAAGUCAACUGUUUAAGAUCUCGGCCUAACUGAGAAAAAGCGGUAGAUACUGAUUCGCUAGAGGAUGAAAGAGAGAAGUGGAAUUCUCGGAGUAGCGGUAAAAUGCGUAGAUCUCGAGAGGAACGUCGAUGGCGAAGGCAGCUUCUUGGUUCAUUUCUGACGCUCAUGCACGAAAGCGUGGGGAGCA
RNAcentral lists this ribosomal RNA (440 nucleotides) under uncultured bacterium. RNAcentral describes it as "bacterial SSU rRNA". It matches the Rfam family "Bacterial small subunit ribosomal RNA", at positions 338 to 770 of the family's 1533-position model. The record is from RNAcentral.